UACAGAGGUCUCAAGCGUUGUUCGGAUUCAUUGGGCGUAAAGGGUGCGUAGGCGGCGCGGUAAGUCGGGUGUGAAAUCUCGGGGCUUAACUCCGAAACUGCAUUCGAUACUGCCGUGCUUGAGGACUGGAGAGGAGACUGGAAUUUACGGUGUAGCGGUGAAAUGCGUAGAUAUCGUAAGGAAGACCAGUGGCGAAGGCGGCUCUCUGGUCCAUGACUGACGCUGAGGUGCGAAAGCUAGGGGAGCAAACAGG
RNAcentral lists this ribosomal RNA (253 nucleotides) under uncultured bacterium. Its description in RNAcentral is "partial 16S ribosomal RNA". It matches the Rfam family "Bacterial small subunit ribosomal RNA", at positions 524 to 776 of the family's 1533-position model. The record is from RNAcentral.